RNAcentral lists this ribosomal RNA (323 nucleotides) under uncultured Glomeromycotina. Its description in RNAcentral is "SSU rRNA". It matches the Rfam family "Eukaryotic small subunit ribosomal RNA", at positions 569 to 897 of the family's 1831-position model. The record is from RNAcentral. Lineage: Eukaryota; Fungi; Glomeromycota.
CGCAGCCGCGGUAAUUCCAGCUCCAAUAGCGUAUAUUAAAGUUGUUGCAGUUAAAAAGCUCGUAGUUGAAUUUCGAGAUCAAAUUGUUGGUCGUGCCUCGGUACGUACUGGCAAUUUUGGUUUCUCCCUUCUGAAGAACCAUGAUGUCAUUAAUUUGGUGUCUUGGGGAAUCAGGACUGUUACUUUGAAAAAAUUGAGUGUUUAAAGCAGGCUCGCGCUUGAAUACAUUAGCAUGGAAUAAUGAAAUAGGACGUUUGAUUCUAUUUUGUUGGUUUCUAGGAUCGACGUAAUGAUUAAUAGGGAUAGGUUGGGGCUAUUAGUAU